GAGGCCGGGAGCUUGCUGCAACUCACAGAGCCGGGCACACAGAAGACUUCACCUCCUAGUCUGCUUAGAGUUAGGCCGGGUCACAUGACUAGCUGUAGACCAGGAGGUGGAGUACAUGCGACACGCAUCACUUUGGGCUGACACGGUGAACCGCUCCUUUCCAGUUCUCUCUGCUCCUCUGUUCCUCUGUUGCAGCCUCUGAAGAGACACUGAGAUCAUAAGAGCACACUGAGUCACUGAGUCACCACGCGGAGGACAGUCACUCUGGUUCCUCAUGCUGCUUUCUUUUCACAUUGAGUUCCGUUGCCAGAGAAGUUUUGGUUCCUAGCCGGCUUGAGGUCAUCUGAGGACAAGGUUUCCACCUGCUGAGCAUGCUCCAGCUACAUGACUUGCAGGUUUUGCCCCUGCAAGAUAACUUUGAUAUUUUGUUAUCGAUACAAUGGGAUAUAAUAGGGCCAGUCCAAACUGGUCCAUGUUGGUUACACACGGAUUUGAGAGAUAUCAAGGAAAUGGAAUUCACAGAUGAUGGAGG
Molecule: long non-coding RNA, 532 nt
Filed under: Equus caballus (horse)
Lineage: Eukaryota; Metazoa; Chordata; Mammalia; Perissodactyla; Equidae
Description: lncRNA (ENSECAG00000037405.3)
Source: RNAcentral